This 429-nucleotide ribosomal RNA is filed under the name Bacteroidota bacterium. RNAcentral describes it as "Bacteroidetes bacterium partial 16S ribosomal RNA". It matches the Rfam family "Bacterial small subunit ribosomal RNA", at positions 355 to 776 of the family's 1533-position model. The record is from RNAcentral. Lineage: Bacteria; Pseudomonadati; Bacteroidota.
UAGGGAAUCUUCGGCAAUGGGGGGAACCCUGACCGAGCAACGCCGCGUGAGUGAAGAAGGUUUUCGGAUCGUAAAGCUCUGUUGUUAAGGAAGAACGAGUGUGAGAAUGGAAAGUUCAUGCUGUGACGGUACUUAACCAGAAAGGGACGGCUAACUACGUGCCAGCAGCCGCGGUAUUACGUAGGUCCCGAGCGUUGUCCGGAUUUAUUGGGCGUAAAGCGAGCGCAGGCGGUUAGAAAAGUCUGAAGUGAAAGGCAGUGGCUCAACCAUUGUAGGCUUUGGAAACUGUUUAACUUGAGUGCAGAAGGGGAGAGUGGAAUUCCAUGUGUAGCGGUGAAAUGCGUAGAUAUAUGGAGGAACACCGGUGGCGAAAGCGGCUCUCUGGUCUGUAACUGACGCUGAGGCUCGAAAGCGUGGGGAGCGAACAGG